This is a non-coding RNA of Vicugna pacos (alpaca), 1121 nucleotides long. The record is from RefSeq and is a predicted model, not a curated record. Lineage: Eukaryota; Metazoa; Chordata; Mammalia; Artiodactyla; Camelidae.
UCGUCCUAAAGGAAUAAGAGACUUAUACACGUACCUCUAACCCCUUUUCCUCACCCUCACCCCCAACUCAUCUGUGAUCAUCACGGUUGGCAAGAAUAUGACUCUGGACCUGUCAGAAGGGCAUCACCUUCAGAGCCCAGCCCUGCUCUCUCCUGAAGUCCUAUCAGCCAGGGAUGUGUCAGUGCACUGGCUUUAACGGUAAUAGCAAGCAGCUGAGCAAACCAGAGGGAGGUCAGACCUAAAGCUCUGGUCUCAUAAACAUCCGUUUCAAAUCAGGACCUUGGGCCAGUCCUCUUCUCGGCACACUCACCCCUACUGCGGAACUGGGAGACUAAAUCACCUCCCCUUAGCAGGGCCGCCAUCUGGCAACCUCGAACUCCACUCUGGAUGUCUGAACCUUUCCCUGGGAAACAAGAGCCUGAGCAGACAGGCUCGUCUACAAUCUGAGUGUCCUCAGCUUUUCUGGUAACAACAGAGCAGGGCAUAAGGUGUGAGCAGAGAAGCAAGCUGGGAGGCCCAAAGCUCUGUGUCAGGUCCACGUAGCCCCUCCUCAGUCCUGGGCUUCUCCCCCUAAUUCUUGUCCCAAUGACAGACACCCACCUGGACGAUCGCAGCGACAAAGUCAACUCAGGAUCCGUGGUGGACAGGACGUAACACCUGGAAUAAGAGCAGAAGAGAAGGAAACGCUGAGCCAGCACCUUGGGAGAAGGGAGAGAGCCUCGGCUUCUUCUCCACAAGGCUGAGUGACAGGCAGAAGGAAGUGAGGGCUCUGUUCUUCAUCCUGCUGAACCCUGCCGAGGCACUCGGGACAAGUUCCCUCUCUGGGCCUGAGUUUACUAAUCUGUUUAGUCAAAACAACACUACCUGCUCUUCUUACCCAAGGAAGGUGCCGGGAGGACAAAAGGAGACAUAAGCCCUCUGGAGGCCCAUACAGCCUUGGGAGGAGAUCAGAACACAGAUACUUCCAAAGGGAAGAGCACUGGAAGACACUGGGAGAAAACAGCCAUGUGCAAGCCAAGGAGAGAGGCCUCAGCAGAACAAACCCUGCUGGUACCCUGGAGCUCAGACUGACAGCCUCCAAAACAGUGAAAAAAUAGACAUCUGUUGUUUAAGCUAAAAAA